This 29-nucleotide non-coding RNA is filed under the name Homo sapiens (human). The record is from RNAcentral. Lineage: Eukaryota; Metazoa; Chordata; Mammalia; Primates; Hominidae.
UGGAGAGCAAAUGUGCCAAGAAAGUCAGC